Molecule: long non-coding RNA, 519 nt
Organism: Balaenoptera acutorostrata (minke whale)
Lineage: Eukaryota; Metazoa; Chordata; Mammalia; Artiodactyla; Balaenopteridae
Exons: 3
Source: RefSeq, a predicted model, not a curated record
CACGGCCCGAGUUAUUUCUGUUCUGAGAGAUAUGGAUGUCACGGACUGCUCCCUGCUGCGACAGAAGAAAAGAAACUGGACCUUGGUGGAAAGGCUUCUGGAAAGCAUUCAUCUCACGUGGAGAGCAGCAGGGCAUCAGGGAGUGUCCAGGCUUGGCUCAAUGGACAGCUCCAUCCUGCCAUUGAGAACCCAGGUCCUUCCCAUCUUCCUGCUCUGCGGUCCCCAGCAUGUUGGCCGUGACCCCUCACAGUGGGAGAUGGCUUCCUGCACCAACAGCACAGCCUUCGGUGGAAGACGAGGACACGUCUCUUCCUGUAUGUCUCUAUCAGCAAGGAAACCCUUCCUUGAAGACCCCAGCAGAUGUCCUCUUAUUCCUCACUGGCCAGACUCAAGCUGGGCUGUCAGGAGCAGACUGAAGGAAAAUGGGAAGAAACCAAGCUGAAGAUGGAAGGGAACCAGGAGACUUCUGAAGUCCAACACAUCAUAGUGGGAAGAGCAUGGAUUUUAGACUCAGCUGCC